This 29-nucleotide non-coding RNA is filed under the name Homo sapiens (human). Lineage: Eukaryota; Metazoa; Chordata; Mammalia; Primates; Hominidae. The record is from RNAcentral.
UCCGUGUCAACACUUGCUUUUCUAGCCUG